RNAcentral lists this ribosomal RNA (460 nucleotides) under uncultured bacterium. Its description in RNAcentral is "partial 16S ribosomal RNA". It matches the Rfam family "Bacterial small subunit ribosomal RNA", at positions 338 to 795 of the family's 1533-position model. The record is from RNAcentral.
CCUACGGGUGGCAGCAGUGAGGAAUAUUGGUCAAUGGACGAGAGUCUGAACCAGCCAAGUAGCGUGAAGGAUGACUGCCCUAUGGGUUGUAAACUUCUUUUAUAUGGGAAUAAAAUGUUCCACGUGUGGGAUUUUGUAUGUACCAUAUGAAUAAGGAUACGCUAACUCCGUGCCAGCAGCCGCGGUAAUACGGAGGAUCCGAGCGUUAUCCGGAUUUAUUUGGGUUAAAGGGAGCGUAGGUGGAUUGUUAAGUCAGUUGUGAAAGUUUGCGGCUUAAACGUAAAAUUGCAGUUGAAACUGGGAGUCUUGAGUACAGGAGAGGUGUGCGGAAUUCGUGGUGUAGCGGUGAAAUGCUUAGAUAUCACGAAGAACUCCGAUUGCGAAGGCAGUUCACUGGACUGCAACUGACACUGAGGCUCGAAAGUGUGGGUAUCAAACAGGAUUAGAUACCCCGGUAGUC